This 793-nucleotide ribosomal RNA is filed under the name uncultured bacterium. RNAcentral's name for it is "bacterial SSU rRNA". It matches the Rfam family "Bacterial small subunit ribosomal RNA", at positions 8 to 797 of the family's 1533-position model. The record is from RNAcentral.
AGAGUUUGAUCAUGGCUCAGGAUGAACGCUAGCGGCAGGCCUAAUACAUGCAAGUCGAGGGGUAACAGGAAUAGCAAUAUUUGCUGACGACCGGCGCACGGGUGCGUAACACGUAUGUAAUCUGCCCUCAACUGGGGGAUAGCCCGGAGAAAUCCGGAUUAAUACCCCAUAAUAAAAGACAAGGCAUCUUGUUUUUUUGAAAAUUCCGAUGGUUGAGGAUGAACAUGCGACUGAUUAGUUUGUUGGUGAGGUAACGGCUCACCAAGACUACGAUCAGUAGGGGUACUGAGAGGUUAAACCCCCACACUGGUACUGAGACACGGACCAGACUCCUACGGAAGGCAGCAGUAAGGAAUAUUGGACAAUGGGCGAGAGCCUGAUCCAGCCAUGCCGCGUGCAGGAAGAAGGCCCUAUGGGUCGUAAACUGCUUUUGAACGAGAGAAAACCCGAGUACGUGUACUCGGCUGAUAGUAUCGUUAGAAUAAGCAUCGGCUAACUUCGUGCCAGCAGCCGCGGUAAGACGAAGGAUGCAAGCGUUAUCCGGGUUCAUUGGGUUUAAAGGGAGCGUAGGCGGACUUGUAAGUCAGUGGUGAAAUCUGUGGGCUUAACCCACAAACUGCCAUUGAUACUGCAGGUCUAGAGUACAGUUGCCGUUGGCGGAAUAUGACAUGUAGUGGUGAAAUACUUAGAUAUGUCAUAGAACACCGAUUGCGAAGGCAGCUAACGAAGCUGUAACUGACGCUGAGGCUCGAAAGUGCGGGGAUCAAACAGGAUUAGAUACCCUGGUAGUCCG